RNAcentral lists this ribosomal RNA (373 nucleotides) under uncultured organism. RNAcentral's name for it is "partial 16S ribosomal RNA". It matches the Rfam family "Bacterial small subunit ribosomal RNA", at positions 527 to 896 of the family's 1533-position model. The record is from RNAcentral.
GUAGGCGGCAAGCGUUGUCCGGAAUUAUUGGGCGUAAAGCGCGCGCAGGCGGUCCUUUAAGUCUGAUGUGAAAGCCCACGGCUCAACCGUGGAGGGUCAUUGGAAACUGGGGGACUUGAGUACAGAAGAGGAAAGCGGAAUUCCAAGUGUAGCGGUGAAAUGCGUAGAGAUUUGGAGGAACACCAGUGGCGAAGGCGGCUUUCUGGUCUGUAACUGACGCUGAGGCGCGAAAGCGUGGGGAGCAAACAGGGAUUAGAUACCCUGGUAGUCCACGCCGUAAACGAUGAGUGCUAAGUGUUAGGGGGUUUCCCGCCCCUUAGUGCUGCAGCUAACGCAUUAAGCACUCCGCCUGGGGAGUACGGCCGCAAGGCUG